This is a long non-coding RNA of Carya illinoinensis, 605 nucleotides long. RefSeq lists it as uncharacterized. NCBI's taxonomy places the organism in Eukaryota, Viridiplantae, Streptophyta, Magnoliopsida, Fagales, Juglandaceae. The transcript is spliced from 3 exons. The record is from RefSeq and is a predicted model, not a curated record.
ACCGGGUUUGUAUAAAAUAGAAAAAUGAAACCCUACCCAUUUAUUGCUUAAGUCUCCCAUCCCUCUAGGAACCCAUUCCGCGUACCUCUCUCUCUCUCUCUCUCUCUCUCUCUCUCUCUCCAAAGAAACCCUAGCCUCCCUCCCUCACGGCCGAUCAAAGAAAAGAUAGCCUCCCUUUCCUCACUCAAUGCUGAUCGAAGAAACCCUAGCCUCCCUCCCUUAGUGCCGAUUGAAGAAACCUCGUCAUCCUGUGACCCGUCGUCGACUCGUUGCCAUCCUCAUGACCUCAAGAUCCGUAAGCACCAAUAAUGCAAACCGGAGUCAACUCAUCACAUAGAGCAUCAAAACUUGACCCCGUAAGCAGAGGUGGAUAGCAAAUCAAAAUUUGACUAUUUUCACAAUGAUGGCAAAUCAAAGUCUUUUGGCGAUAAUGUAGUAAAUUAGUUCAUGUUUGUUGUUAUGUAUUGGAGUUUAAUAAAACAAUAUAUGUGUUUUGUAUUGUUCUAAGCAAAUUAGUUCAGACAAUGUAAUAUGUAAUGGAUUUUUUUAUUUUUUAUUUUUUUUUAUUUUUAUUUUUAUUUAUUUUUUACAUACUUUUAGUGAUA